GAUGAACGCUAGCGGGAGGCUUAACACAUGCAAGUCGAGGGGUAAGGUAGCAAUAUCUGAGACCGGCGCACGGGUGAGUAACGCGUAUGUAACCUGCCCUUUACAGGGGGAUAGCCCGUCGAAAGGCGGAUUAAUACCCCAUAAUAUUAAGCUGCUGCAUGGUAGUUUGAUAAAAGCUGAGGCGGUAAAGGAUGGGCAUGCGUGACAUUAGCUAGUUGGUAGGGUAACGGCCUACCAAGGCUACGAUGUCUAGGGGUUCUGAGAGGAAGGUCCCCCACACUGGUACUGAGACACGGACCAGACUCCUACGGGAGGCAGCAGUGAGGAAUAUUGGUCAAUGGGCGAGAGCCUGAACCAGCCAUCCCGCGUGCAGGAAGACGGCCCUAUGGGUUGUAAACUGCUUUUGUGCAGGAAGAAUGUACUCAUCGUGAUGGGUAUUGACGGUACUGCAUGAAUAAGCACCGGCUAACUCCGUGCCAGCAGCCCGCGGUAAA
RNAcentral lists this ribosomal RNA (494 nucleotides) under uncultured bacterium. Its description in RNAcentral is "bacterial SSU rRNA". It matches the Rfam family "Bacterial small subunit ribosomal RNA", at positions 28 to 524 of the family's 1533-position model. The record is from RNAcentral.